This 858-nucleotide ribosomal RNA is filed under the name Psychrobacter sp. RNAcentral's name for it is "bacterial SSU rRNA". It matches the Rfam family "Bacterial small subunit ribosomal RNA", at positions 582 to 1440 of the family's 1533-position model. Lineage: Bacteria; Pseudomonadati; Pseudomonadota; Gammaproteobacteria; Moraxellales; Moraxellaceae. The record is from RNAcentral.
GAUAAGUCAGAUGUGAAAUCCCCGGGCUCAACCUGGGAACUGCAUCUGAUACUGUUGAGCUAGAGUAUGUGAGAGGAAGGUAGAAUUCCAGGUGUAGCGGUGAAGUGCGUAGAGAUCUGGAGGAAUACCGAUGGCGAAGGCAGCUUCUGGCAUAAUACUGACACUGAGGCUCGAAAGCGUGGGUAGCAAACAGGAUUAGAUACCCUGGUAGUCCACGCUGUAAACGAUGUCUACUAGUCGUUGGGUCCCUCGAGGACUUAGUGACGCAGCUAACGCAAUAAGUAGACCGCCUGGGGAGUACGGCCGCAAGGUUAAAACUCAAAUGAAUUGACGGGGGCCCGCACAAGCGGUGGAGCAUGUGGUUUAUUUCGAUGCAACGCGAAGAACCUUACCUGGUCUUGACAUAUCUAGAAUCCUGCAGAGAUGCGGGAGUGCCUUCGGGAAUUAGAAUACAGGUGCUGCAUGGCUGUCGUCAGCUCGUGUCGUGAGAUGUUGGGUUAAGUCCCGCAACGAGCGCAACCCUUGUCCUUAGUUACCAGCGGGUUAAGCCGGGAACUCUAAGGAUACUGCCAGUGACAAACUGGAGGAAGGCGGGGACGACGUCAAGUCAUCAUGGCCCUUACGACCAGGGCUACACACGUGCUACAAUGGUAGGUACAGAGGGCAGCUACACAGCGAUGUGAUGCGAAUCUCAAAAAGCCUAUCGUAGUCCAGAUUGGAGUCUGCAACUCGACUCCAUGAAGUAGGAAUCGCUAGUAAUCGCGGAUCAGAAUGCCGCGGUGAAUACGUUCCCGGGCCUUGUACACACCGCCCGUCACACCAUGGGAGUUGAUUGCACCAGAAGUGGAUAGCCUAACC